GGUGAGUAAUACCUUAUACGCCCUUCGGGGAAAGAUUUAUCGGAGAAGGAUCGGCCCGCGUUAGAUUAGAUAGUUGGUGGGGUAACGGCCUACCAAGUCUACGAUCUAUAGCUGGUUUUAGAGGAUGAUCAGCAACACUGGGACUGAGACACGGCCCAGACUCCUACGGGAGGCAGCAGUGGGGAAUCUUGGACAAUGGGCGCACGUGAUCCAGCCAUGCCGCGUGAGUGACGAAGGCCUUAGGGUCGUAAAGCUCUUUCGCCAGGGAUGAUAAUGACAGUACCUGGUAAAGAAACCCCGGCUAACUCCGUGCCAGCAGCCGCGGUAAUACGGAGGGGGUUAGCGUUGUUCGGAAUUACUGGUCGUAAAGAGCGCGUAGGGGAUUGGAAAGUUGGGGGUGAAAUCCCGGGGCUCAACCCCGAACUGCCUCCAAAACUAUCAGUCUAGAGUUCGAGAGAGGUGAGUGGAAUUCCAAGUGUAGAGGUGAAAUUCGUAGAUAUUUGGAGGAACACCAGUGGCGAAGCGGCUCACUGGCUCGAUACUGACGCUGAGGUGCGAAAGUGUGGGGAGCAAACAGGAUUAGAUACCCUGGUAGUCCACACCGUAAACGAUGAAUGCCAGACGUCG
RNAcentral lists this ribosomal RNA (627 nucleotides) under uncultured bacterium. RNAcentral's name for it is "bacterial SSU rRNA". It matches the Rfam family "Bacterial small subunit ribosomal RNA", at positions 158 to 825 of the family's 1533-position model. The record is from RNAcentral.